This 401-nucleotide long non-coding RNA is filed under the name Homo sapiens (human). Its description in RNAcentral is "HSALNT0306909". Lineage: Eukaryota; Metazoa; Chordata; Mammalia; Primates; Hominidae. The record is from RNAcentral.
UAAACUAGUAUUAUCUCUAGAAGGUUACCUUAGCAGCCUCUGCUCUAUUGAGUUUAUGAAAAAAGAAUGCAGCCCAACUAAGGAUGCUGCCUCCUCCUCAAGUUAUCAUUCAAUUCUGGAAUCUUGGGCAUUGCCUUUGUAUCGAGGAUGAGGGGCUGCAGUUUUCAGUCAUCAAUCCCACAGGUGAUAUCCUUCAAAAUAACCACAAAUAUUUUUCUCCAGAUUCUUUAAAUAAUACAUAUGUGCCUAUGAUUCAAUGCACUUUGUAAAAAUAAAAAGUAUACAAUUGAUAGCUAUAAUUUUUCAGUGACUACAAAUUUAAGAUCACCCCUGAAUAUGAAUCUGAUCUAGUUUUUCUGUUCCACCCCACUCUGCAAGGAGUGUUACUUGCCAUACAGAAA